CACACGCACACAUACACACACAUCAGGAAAUAUGUCAGGUAGAGUAUUUACAAUUUGUAAACGAAUAAUUCUUCAUCAGCUCCAGAUUCAAAGUCCUGAGAGAGGUGAUCAUUGGACAGAUCGGACUCAGAUGCCUGCCCUGGGCAUGUGGGGAGAAGAGAGGUUCAGGCCCCCGAUUUCUGGAUUGGCAGAUGAGAAAACUGAAGGUCAAGGAAGAUGAAGGAACAUCCCCUCAGUCCCUCAGUCAGUCCAGGAUGUGGGAUUCAAACCUAAGGUACCGAAGACGGCAGAUUUGGGCUCCUGCGAAUAAACGGCUUCCCCGAUUUUGCAGAAAGGUUCCCUCACGAAGCUGCAAGUGCUGAGAUAAUGGAGCCGCAAAUUAAAGUCUCGUUUAAAAAGUGACAACUGUAUGUGGGGAAGAAACCCCAAACCGACUCUCUAGCUCCAAACCACCUGCUUCCAUAGAAAGGGAUGUAGGGUGGUCGACCAGACUUCUCUUAAACUGAAAAGUUAAGAAAUGUCCACGGUAAGAAAAUGCUAAAAGUUCAAAAUGUGUGGAGAGCCUUCCUGGUUCAGUCGACUGAUCCUCCUGCCUUGAAGUAACUACAUUGUCAGUUUUUGCGUUUUCCUCUAGGAAUAAUCUGUGUGUGAGCAAAGUUAGGCCAGAUAUUCACUUAUCUCUUCAUCAUUUUUAAUUUUUAAUUGUGGUAAGAUACACAUAAGAUAAAAUUUACCAUCUUAAUCAUUUUUAUGUACACAGACUAGUAGUGCGAAGUGUAUUUUCACUGUUGAGCGCCCAAUCUCCAGAAUUUUUCUGUCUUGCAAAACGGGAACUCUGUCCCCAUUAAACAAUAAUGUCCCGUUCCCCCUCCCCCAGCCCCUGGCACCCACCCUCCUAAUUUCUGUUUCUGUGAGUUUGAUGACUCCAGAGACCUCAUGUAAGUGGAGUCACACAGCAUCUGUCUUGUGGCUGGCUUAUGUCACUGAGCAUCAUGUCCUCAAGGCUCCUCCACGUUGUGGCAGGUGUGAGAAUGUCCUUCCUUUUUAAGGCUGAAUGACGUUCCAUUAUUUGGAUGGACCACCUCGUGUCCAUCCAUCCUCCAUCGAUGGACACUUGGGUGCCGUCACCUUUUGGCUGUUGUGAACAGGGCUGCUGCGAACACGGGUGUGCAAAUAUCUCUGUGAGCCCUUGCUUUUAGUUCUUCACCCAUAUAUUCCUAGAAAUAGAAUUGCUUGAUCAUAUGUGAAUUCUAUUUUUAAUCUUUAAAGGACUCAUUAUUAUUAUUAUUAUUUGCGGUACGCAGGCCUCUCACCGUUGUGGCCUCUCCCGUUGCGGAGCACAGGCUCCGGACGCGCAGGCUCA
Globicephala melas (long-finned pilot whale) is the source of this 1363-nucleotide long non-coding RNA. RefSeq lists it as uncharacterized. Lineage: Eukaryota; Metazoa; Chordata; Mammalia; Artiodactyla; Delphinidae. The record is from RefSeq and is a predicted model, not a curated record.